Chenopodium quinoa (quinoa) is the source of this 4159-nucleotide long non-coding RNA. RefSeq lists it as uncharacterized. The transcript is spliced from 6 exons. The record is from RefSeq and is a predicted model, not a curated record. Lineage: Eukaryota; Viridiplantae; Streptophyta; Magnoliopsida; Caryophyllales; Amaranthaceae.
UGAGGCCAAUGCGUACUCAUAUGAAUUUGCAUGUAAACAAAUCAACAAUCACCACCAUAUCAAAAGCCUUAAUCCCAUUGGCAUUGGGAGACAAGGAUACACUUGAAAAGGACCCCAAGACAUGAGAUUAAAGAAGGCUCAAGAUGGAUAUUAAUUAAGACAAUUAAAUAAUAUUUAAGAGCUUGAUCUUAGAUUCGGUAUUCUCUCUACAAGUAGUAGAUCAUCAGGGGUUGUUAUCUGUAUAGAAAAGAAAAAAAAAAGGAUGUAUUAGCCGAAUUUUCAUGAAUACACUACUAUAAGUCCAGCAAUCGUUAUUUACUAACUUCGUUAUUAUGUUCUACUCACGUACUAUAAAUAAUUAAAUAUACAAUUUAAGAAAUUGUUGAAGAAUAUUUGUGAGUGUAAUAUAAAGUAAGAAAGAGAAUGUAAAAAAGUGGGUUUAUCCGUACCCAUUAAAAAGAGGAACUUGUCAAACAUGAAAGGAAUAGUUACUUGAGUGUGUAGUCAAUGAAUAUCACUGUUCAUAAGAUUUGCAAAACUGGGAGGGUUUGGGUUUCUAGCAUUUGGGUGCAAUUUCAUUUUAUUUGGUAAGUCACCAAAUUACUUUUCUCCCUAUUUUCCUCUAUUUCAUACAUUUCCCCUUAUUUCUCUGUCAUCUCUUUUCCUGAUUUCAAGCUCUUCCAUUUAUUCCGUUUUUCAUAAAAUAAAAAAAAUAAAAAAGAAAAAAUAAUAAUAAAAAAUCUUCUUUUCUCUGUCUCUCUCCUCCUGCUCUCUAUUUCUCCAUCUCCACCAUUGAAGUUGUGCUCUGAUUUUACCAUCUCCAUCUCCAUUCCCAUGCAAUUUCGUUUUUUCAGAUUCCUCAAUUUUUUUUUUUCCGUUCUCCAGAUUCUCAUUUUUUCCGUUAAUGUUCUAAUAAAAGUGUUAAGACAUUAUCUUGAGUUAUGUUGCUUCUAUGGCGGCUGAGGAUUUCGGUCGGCGUUGAAGCAAACUCUGAGCUUUCCUCCAUUGAAUCAGCUUGUUCUCCAAGGUAGCGUUUGUUUAAUUUCAUAUAGUGUUUAAUUUAAUUUCCUGCAUAAUCAAUUUAGGGUUCUUAGAUGGAUUAUUGAACUUUCUAAUUACUGAAGUUAUGAAAUAUUAAAACGAAUAAUUUAGCUGCUAGCUUUAGCUAUGUGCAAAUUACGUUGAUUAAGUGAAGAAUUUUAUGUGAAUUUCUUAGACUGAUCAAAUAAUUGAGUGAAGUUAUGAAUUUUUUCCAGAAAACACUCCAUUAUUACCUUAACUCUACUGUGAAAUUGCAGUCCAAACUUAGAAAUCCUUGGCUUCGAUUUUCUAAAUUACAAAGUAAUUACAUGUAUGAGUAUAAAUUAGGCCUUUGACUGUGCCAUUCCAGUAAUCAAACUUUGAAUAUUAGUUUUUAAAAUUUUUGUUUUGCCUCAAUUAAUAUUCAAUCGAACAAAGUUUGGGGUUUUGAAAAAGCUAGAAUUUUUUAUAUUGGGUAAGGAUUGAUCAAAAAUAUUGAAUUUAUCUAAAAUAUAUGUCACUUUACCCUUGCUUUCGUGGAGGAGUAUUUGUUACUUGACUUUACAUUCUUUGGUGGUUGAUUUUUAUUGAAAAACUUCAACAACUUGGGUUUGAUUUCUUUUAGUUUUCCACAUUUUUCAUCCAUUGUUCAAGCUCAUGUGCUUAGGUUAUUUAACUUAUUAGAUAAGAAUGAUAGUGGGUUUUGGAGGGUUUAAGGAAAAGAAAAAGAUAAGAUUAUGUAAUUAGGAAGUGAAAUAAUGGAGCUAUGGGCUCGAUUUUAAGUCAAGAAAUAGCGAGAAAUAUGACAGACUCUCUAAUUAAUUUUGGGGUCCUUUUGUUUCAAUUUUAAGUCAAGAAGUAUGACAGACUCUCUAAUUAAUUUUGGAUUAAUCAAUUUUGGGGUUCUCGGCAUUAUCAAUAUAGUGCAUCAACUUGAUUAUAUUAAGUUCUUGCCAAUUAUGUUAUGUAGAAUUGCAAUUCUCUGUCUUGUCUACAUUAACAGAUUUAUGUUGGGUACUUCCUUUCUGAUAGUGCCAUGAUAUUUUGGUUUUAUCAUGUUUUACGUGGAAUGGAGUAUGUAAGUAAUACCUUAACUCUAUUUUUCACCUUAGAUUGAUGUAGUAGUGAAAUUUUAAGGUAGCUUAUUAGUUACAUCUGCUAAGCUCAAAAAAAGCAACAAAUGCUUAAAUAUGGGAGACCAAUUGGUUAAUAUCAUGUUCUUUCUAAAAUUAGAAAAGACGUAUGUUUUAACCAUGUAGUUCAUCUUUACAAGUGCUUCAUCAUCUUUUGUCAAUGGGAGCACUAGCAUAUGCUAUGUUGAAUAGAACAGGGAAAUUCUAAACCUAUAUGGCUCUUCUUUAUAAGAUAGCAACACCAGGGAUCAACAUGAGAUGGUAAGUCUUUUAUCAUUUUGUAAUCAUGUUAAUCAGUUUAAAUUUGUUUUGCCGUUCCCUCGUAUAUGAUGUGAAGCUUUUGUUGCUGAAGGUAUCUUAUACCAUUGUUUACAAAAGCUUUUGUUGUUUUUGUAUAUGGAGUUGGUAUAUUCUUGACUUGGCUGGUGAGUACAAUUAGAUUUAAGGAUAGGCAAAACAAAUAGUGAACUUGUGUUUGCCAAUGAUAAGUGUUUUGUUAUUUAGACAGGAUUUUGAAAAUGCAUAAUCAUAGUGUUAUAAACUAUAUUAAAAAAAGAAAAAAAGGAUAAAGAUGGUUAGGAAAUGUGAAUAAUCCAGUUGUCAGCUUUUGUAAACAAUGGUAUCUUAUUUGGUGCUUCAAUCUUAUAUUGCAUAUUAGUUACAUUGGGCUUAAUGUUCUUUUGCUAGCUGUGCAUUUUGUUUGUAUAUCAGGUAAAGCAUUAUUAUGCAGGUUCUGCAAUGGGGUAUGAAUUAUGUGGGUAACGUUGGAAGGUAAUUUCUACCAUCUUUAUGUUGUGUGUUUGAUAUAUUUGAAUGUGAAGAUUGUGAACGGUUUUCUUAGUAUGAGUUUGAUUAUUAUGAUCUUUAACUAUACUUGUAUUUAGUUAAGUUGGAUUGUCUUUAGGAAUUGCAAUAUGUGUCGAGUAUCGAGUUUUAUAUAGUUGACUCUAAAUUUAGUAAUAAUAUUUUAUAUGGUUGACAUGCAAUUAGACAUGGUAUAGCCAUUUGCUCUUCAUCAACAGCAAAUUGCUAUGCUGGCACAGCAACCAAGUCUUCUUAUGGCUGCAGCUGCUCAAGCAGCUAAUGGAGCUUCAAAACCAAACGUCAUUAUGCAACAACCUGGAUUAAAUGGCACCAAUUUUCCGACUCAAAACUGGCUAGGUCUUGGGUAUUUCCUAGGUUAACUAUGCCAUUAACUGGUCAGAAUGAACUACCAAAAUCAGCUCAGGUUGGGAACUCUCUGUCAAUGUACCCAACAGGAAAUCCUUCCUAUUUCCCAGAAAUGGUGAAUGUAUGAGGCUUACUAUUAUUCUAAUGCGGCACAAUCAGAUCUGUCAUAUACUCAUAUUCUACUCACGGCAAUAUAAGAUCUUUUUUCUGGAUAUUCUCAAACUUCGAAUUUUUCUGAUCUUUCAUAUUCUCUACUCACGGACGAUAUAAGGAAUUAGGGGGGUGGUAGAAGGACGAGGAGUAUUUUGGCAGCUGUGAGCAGGAUGCUAAUGAAGAGUGGCCAUAGUAAUCAGUAAAUGUUGUGAUGUGUUGUUGAAUGAGAAUUAGUUUUGGCAUUUACAUUGAUGCUAGCUGUUUUGAGAGUGGGUUAAUUUUAUUUUAUUUUUUGUUGUUGGUGUUGUUGUUGUUGAAGGAACAACUUCUGUUUUCUUAAUUUGGUUCAUUUUACUUAUUGUAGCACUACAUAUGUGCAUUUGCAUUGAGUUAACUUAUUUUCUCUAAUUAACUACAAUAUUUGUUUUCUCUUAGGUGCUUAAUUGUAUUAUCUAGAAGCUACACAAUUUCUUCAAUAAGUUCCCAUUCUGCUAAUCUUAUUCUGCUUAAAGUUAGUAUACUUGUAUGUACUUAAAAUGUAUACUUGUAUGAUUGGCUUAAAGUUGGCUUAAAGUUAGUACUUAAAAUGUACACAUAUGUCAGUCACAUGAGACAAUGCAUGCUUAAUUGCUCACUAUUAGUAGAAUCUGUCACUUAAUUUGGUACUUAUAAAUGCUGUUUUU